RNAcentral lists this long non-coding RNA (10175 nucleotides) under Citrus x clementina. RNAcentral describes it as "Citrus clementina (C. clementina) long non-coding RNA (CCLE_LNC000761)". The record is from RNAcentral. Lineage: Eukaryota; Viridiplantae; Streptophyta; Magnoliopsida; Sapindales; Rutaceae.
CUGAAUCUGAUGAAACCUUCUUGUGUGGCUCAUAUAGCGCCAGGCAUUUUAUUGCACACAACGAAAAGAAACUAGUACCAUGAAACACCAACCUGGGAAUCCCAAACUUGGCAGCAGCAUCAGUGGCCCAAGGAAAGAGCAUAUCAGCCACCAAACAAUCUGGUUUAUGUUCUUGCAAGAGCUGCUCGAGUGGUUUUUGGAGCUUCGUUGUGGCCAUGUAAAACUUGACAAUCAAUUCCCUGUUCACUUCAUUAGUGAUUGCGUCAAGAUUUUCCCAUCCCUCUGGCAAACCGGCCUCCGCAGAAGGGAACUUGAUGAUCUUCACAUCCAAUUCGAUGCCCAAUUCACUGGCUUUUUGAAUUGAUCUUGAUAAGUGAGGCGCAUUGCCUGGAGUUGUGAUGACACUUGCUUUCACCCCACGAGUUGUAAACAACUUUGCCAUGUCCACAGUUGGAAUCAUAUGGCCAUGAGCCAGGAAUGGAAAGAAGAAAAUGUGAAGCUGACAGAUCCCACUGGCCAUGCCCGCUUGCGAUAGAGAGUGCAGAGACCAAGACAAUGGUUAUUAUUGAUUAAAGUUGAAAAGAUAUCUCAGUUUAUGCCUGUCUGUUCAUUAUAUGUACAAAAUCAGUUAAAAAUAAACACUCGCUUACGUACAGGGAACUAAGUUCAAAGCAUGAAACUUUAUUGACAAACCAAAACGCUGAAAGUAACACACAAAUUCACAAUAAUGUGAAAAAAAUAUUCCCCGAAUUUACCAUUCCCGCACAUUCCACGCUAGUCUCGAAUCCGAGUGACUGUAUUGCUAUAUUAUUUAUUAUGGGACCGCUGAAGUUUGACGAUUUCAAUUAACGACAAUCAAGAAUGGCUAAAAGUCGUCCUGUUAUUAUUGCUAUUUUCUUUAAAAAGGUUGUCUAGUGUUUACCUUUAGCAUUGAAAAAGACCCUGGAGUUAGAGGUGCCUCAAUCUCUCAACUCCAAAAGCACACCAAUCUUCAAACGCUGAGUCACCAACUUGUCGUUUUAAAAUUGCUCAGCAGAGACUGAGACAGGCCCUGUCACCACAGACAAGCCAGCUCUCAAACGACAAGAAAAACUUUGUGAAAUUUGAAAGGCCUGAACCACAGUUGGCGCCGGAGCCCAAAACAAACGUCUUAAUCCUUCUUCUUCAGUUGCAAUUUCACACAAAAAGAUACGAGCAGACUCUCCAGAAUUGCACCAACGUGAGCAAUUCCUAUACGAUAUGAGACAAAAUUUAUAACUACCAUGUUCGCAUUCACAUAUCAAUGAGACAAAUUCAUAAUUGCCCAAAACAAAACUUUAUCUCAUCAGAAUUAUCCUUGGUAUUCCUGGAGACCCGACCUCAUUAUAUUCAUUAAAGACAAACUUGAAUAUUUUUAUCUUCAAAUUUUCUGUUCCAUAGAAAUAAGUCAAUUGAAUUAACUGUAAAAAUAUUCUUAUCAAUUAUUACUUAGUGAAUAUGAACAAAUCAUUCUUCUCAUAUAGAAUUAACUACCAAUGCAUUUUAUAAUUCUUAAUUAUAAUUGAUAUAUAGUUUCUCCAACACUAAAAUUCUUGUUAAUUAACAGAAAGAUUUAUCAUGAGCAAAUAAGUUAAAUCUUAUUUUAUAUAUUUUUUAAACUGUAAUUGGAUUGAUUGGUCAUCAAUCGCCUAUUGUUGAAACAAGGUAGAACGAGGGGAAAACCCAAAUUGAUUUUUCUACCGCUCUCAAAAUUUUAAGUGGGAAGCCAAAUAAAUUUAAUUGAAAUUAAAUAAAAAUGGUUGAAAAUUAUUUCCGCCAAUUCCUGAUUUUCUCCUUCUGUUGCAAAAGUCGCCAACAAAUCAAAUGUUAACAGCUGUUCAAGGCUCAAUCCAACCAACCAAUUGGGAAUCACCCCAAUACGACAGGAUCAAGAACAAAGACAAACAAACAUGCUAUUACGAUACAUCUGGCUUUGUGUGAGUUUAGCUGCUUUGAUGGCGACUUAAACGCAACUCCUCAAUAAGAGCACUCAAAUCAGAGUACGAUGAACCUCCAUUUUCAACAGCCCUUUUUGCCAUCUUCCCCAAAGCCUUGGCUCUGCUCCUCAUUUCUUCUGCCCUAUCACCCACCAUUAUCUCAUUCACUGCCUUUUCUAUUUUCUCUCUCUUCACAAAAUCCCCCACAAUUCUACACCAUUUCUGGAUUCCAACACCAACGCCAAUCUUCAGAACUUCAUUCACCAUCUUUUCAUUGUAAAAUUGCUCCGCAGAGACGGGCCAUGUCACCAGAGGUACCCCAGCAGCCACCGCUUCAAUAGUUGAAUUCCAUCCGCAAUGGGUCACAAAUCCUCCAACAGCUUCGUGAUCAAGUAUCAAAACCUGUGGCGCCCAUCCUCUAAUGAUUAGCCCUUUUCCCUCCAUUCUCUUCUCAAAUCCUUCAGGCAACCAAUCUUCCUUUCCUCCUUCACCGCCAUCAUUCUUGUUUUUCCUCACAACCCAAAUGAAAUUUCUCCCUGAAGCUUCCAGGCCCGUUGCAAUCUCCAUUAGCUGAGCAGAAGUAAAGUUGGCCAGGCUUCCAAAGCAAAUGUAAACAACAGAAUUGGGUUGCUUUGAAUUCAACCACUUCAAGCACUCCAGUUCAUCAAUAGAGGCUUGCUUUCCCCUCAAAGCUUUAUCUUCAAAAUUCCUAUUGCAUAAGGAAACAGGGCCAAUAUGCCAUGCCCUCCUUCCCAAAGCCUUCCUGUAAUGGUCAGCAUAAGCAGGCUCCAGCUCAUAAAAGCUGUUCACGGCAACACCAUAGCUCCUCGACUCUGACUCGUUAGUUGCUUUCAACAACCUGCUCAAGUCAUUAUCUCCCAUAUCCUGUUUUACAAAAUCUGGCAAUUGGUUUCUCGUCAGCUUGAUCUCACCCGGAAAAUGAGGCAUCACAAAUGGCUCUGAAUCCGAUGAAACCUUCUUGUGUGGCUCAUAUAGCCUCAGGCAAUUUGAUGCACACAAAGAAAAGAAACUAGUGCCGUGAAACACCAGCCUGGGAAUACCAAACUUGGCAGCAGCGUCAGUGGCCCAAGGGAAGAAUAUGUCGGCUACCAAACAAUCUGGUUUAUGAUCUCGCAACAGCUGCUCAAGAGGUUCUUGGAGCUUCGUUGUGGCCCCCAAAAACUUGACAAUCAAUUCCUUGUUCACUUCAUUUGUGAUUGCGUCAAGAUUUUCACAUCCGUCUGGCAAACCGGCCUCCACAGAAGGGAACUUGAUGGUCUUCACAUCCAAUUCGAUGCCCAAUUCAUUGGCUCUUUCUACUGAUUUGGAGACGUAAGGCGCAUUGGCUGGAGUUGUAAUGACACUUGCUUUCACCCCACGAGUUGCAAACAACUUCGCCAUGUCCACAAUUGGAAUCAUGUGGCCGUGAGCCAUGAAUGGAAAGAAAAAAACGUGAAGCUGAGGGAUUUUACUGCCCAUAUUCGACUUCCGAAUCAAAUACAACGAUAGACUAGAAUUAUUAAUGAAUGCAACUUUGUUAUUUUUCUCUGUUUCGAUGACCAACUAUGUGUGUGUGGACUCACGAAAGCCGUAAAAUAUAUAGAACACAAGAAUUGGAGAUCAAGAAAUGAUGACGCCUUGGGAAUAUUCUAAGAAGAGGAUUAAUGGUCUUCGAUUCACACGCGUCUUUCUUGCCGUCACCACCUUGCAUUGUGCGUCAGCUUCUUUCACAGUAAUUAAAAGAAAGAAACUUAACCCCUCUGUCAAAUUUUUUGUUUCUUCCCUUGGCCGCAACAGUCUUGGUUCUCAUAUUAGUCAAAGUUUUAUGUAUUGACAAUAAAGAAUCGAUGUUAUUUUUAUUUAAUUUAUUGAUAAAGCACAGAAGAGAGAUUAAAAGUUUUCCUUGAAGUUUCCAUCGUGCCCAGUUGAAAAGGACAAAUGAAAAUAAAUAAAUAAAAAAAAAUGGCUUCGUCGAUGUCUCUUCGUAGUUCAUAGAGACAAGAACAUGAUUACGUUGUUACGUAAGCUCAUACGUUGUUGUUUUUUGCCAGGGUCACGAAUCAGAAUCCACAUGUCACAAUUGGCAUAGUUUGAGUAUCUAGUGCAAUCCUUGAGCAGUUGCGAUUGCCGAGGAGGAUGAUUCUACAGCUUCAAAGAUUAGCUUAUCCCUAAAUUUCUUACUAAUUUUUGAAGCUGGAUAUUUGUCUAUUUUCUUCUUCUUCCGAGCAACAUUGUCUCUAGGAGCCAUUGUUAGUAAUAUGCACUAAAGGCCAAUCGAAUGGUGUUUGUUUGUUUAGGGAAUUAUUGUAUUUGAAUAGCAUUUUGAUAUUUAUAAAAUGGCAAAGUUAUCAACAUUCAUAAUUAAUUUAAUGAAUAGAGUCCAAGAAGUAAAAUAGUUAAGGAACACAUUCUCGAGUUUGUCGAGAAUAUGAAACGUGCAUCCUUUGUACUAUACUUCUAAAAUAGUUCCUAGUGGUGGAUUUAUGAUUGGACAUUAUAAAUUCCUAUAAACACUAGUAUAUGUUAUGACACUUUAUGGUAUGUGAUACUAAAAUGGAUGGUGAGUUUCAUAUCAUUGAUAUGAGAUGUCAAGUCAAACAUAUAGGUACUUGUUGAGAGAACGAGUUUACUGAACUUGACCAAAUAUAGUAAGCCAUAUGGUUUUGAGUGUUAAUGGCUUAUUAUACAUUGUAAUAGACACUAUGUUUAGUAAUGGUCUUUAGACCUAAGGCAUAACAUAUGUCUUAUACAUAGACAUCUCUGAUAUGUGAAAGCAUAAUGAUUGAUUCCUAAUCAAGGAAGAGAUCUAGCAAUAGUUGUCAUGGUUGGCUAUAUAUGAAGACAAGUGUAUGGCCAAUAUGGAAUUCAUCACUUUGUAAUAUACAAAAAGGAUGUCCCUAUGAGAUAAUAUGAAUUGGCAUAAGAAAUCCUUAGCCAAGGUGAAAUAUAUUUGAAGGAGUUCAAAUUAUAUUUUCAUGCCAAGUUCAUUUAGAUUUAUUUUGAGAUAAAGCAUAACUGCUUAACAUAAUAAACCAUAAGCCGUGCUUUUCUCUGGACAUGGAUGAUGAAGAGACCAAGACAUAGAGAUACAAUGGAAUAGGUUCUAUAGAUCUAACAAUUCUUGUUAUUUGGAUAGUUGUGAAAUACUGCUAGGUGUCACUCAUGACUUGUAGAAACCUUAAGAUUAAUAUUGGUAAAGCGUAUUAGCAAUGCAUCUUAAGGUCAUUAGAAAAGUUCUAUUUGAUGACUAAAGAGUUUAGCAUCAUUUAAUGAAUAAAGAGUUAUCAUUAAAAUAGUUCUACUACCUUAUAACUAAGAACCUAAAAUGUCACACACCAAAUAGAAAUGAAAAAUGAGUUACUAGAAAAUGAGAAGUUAAAUUUCCUAAUUUUAGGAAAAUCGAAAUUUAUAUUAUAAUUCAUUAAGAAUGAAUAUAUAUAUAUAUAUAUAUAUAUAUAUAUAUAUAUAUAUAUAUAUAUAUAUAUAUAUAUAUAUAUAUAUAUAUCUCUUAAAUAUGAUUUAAGAUAGAAAUUUAGAUGUUCCAUAAAUAGUUUAAGGAACAAAAUAAAUUUCAUAAAUCCUCAAUUAAACAUCAUGUAAUAUCGAGCACAUAAAAUGACCAUUUUGGACAUGUUCCAGUUCAUAUAUGAUUACAGACUUCUAGACUAAUUUUGGGUUUAGAAUUUUGGGCUUUUAUUGGAUCUAAUAUGGAUUAAGAGAAAGCAUUAGAACAUGUCACAAAAGAAGCCCACAUUUAACCAUUUGAUUUGAUCAAAAUGGGAUUAAUUAAUUAAAGACAAAAUUAAUUAAUUUAGCUAUUUAUUUAUUUGAUUAAAUAAAAUAUUGAAGUGAUAAGAUCACAUUCAAAAAAUAAUGGCUUAGUGGGUGGGUCUAGCACAUGAUAAUGUUUGGUGCCAUUAUUGAAGAUAAUGGUGGCUUUAUUUGGUAGAAUGAAUCAUCAUGAACUAGCAUUCAUGUUUCUUCAUUAUCUCUCUCAUUUCUAAAUGCAAUUUCGAGAUUCCAAAUCCUAUGAACUCCUAGAACAUUUCUAAGUGUGGACGGACUAAAGGCAUCACAAUUGAGGUACUUUAAAGAUCUCAAAUCGUGGCAAAACAGAAGCUGUUUGUGCAGAGGUCUAUUUUCUGGACAGUGUUCGUAGCUUGCUGUUUUCAGUCAUUUUUUCCUACUUCACGAAGUCAUUUUUGAAACUACAAGUGAGGUAAUUAAACUUCAAUCUUUCCUCUUGAUUUUCAUUUUUGAAUGAAGCUGAUCCGAGGUUUCUAGAGCUUCCGCCAUCCGUUUUAAUUUUACUGCACAAAAGUUGCAUUUUUAGGAACCUCAUGGACAAAUGUUGUCCUUCAGCCAAAACUAAAAAAGGAGGGAAAAGAAAAGAAAAGACACUCACCAAGGAAAUUGAAAGCCAAAGCCCUGAGCUCCACGAGGUGGGCGAAUGGUGCAAAGGGUGGUUUAUAUAGAAAUGAAUAGAGAGAGAAACAAAUUGAUCUUUUAUGCUUUUAGUUCUGGUGGAACGAGAAACUAAGAGCUAGAGAGUAACUGUUGUAGAAAAUAUAAAAAAUCAAUAAAAACUGCGGAGAAGUUGAAAAAAAAAUGCUCCCCAAGGAGCAAAAGCCCCUAGAGUGGAGAGUAGAAGCCACAUCCCCAAGAGUAGAGAGCAACAGGGAGCAGGAGUCAUGCUCCCCAAGGAGCGGAAACCAUGCUUCCCAGGAGGUAGGAGUAGGAACCAUACUCCUUAGGGAGUAGGAGCAGGAACCAUGCCCCUAGGGAUAACAAUAACAAAAUAAGUUGUGACCCAUGAGACCAUUAACCUGAUUUUGGAUUACGGACCACAUAGAAAAGCCAAGUCUAAAUAAAGAAACUAUUGUUGAAUUAAGCUUAGUAAAUAAAAGUCAACAAUGGAAGGAUAUUACUUGGUCCGGAAGUAAAUUAAAUAAAGUUUGACACAAAUACGACCAAUAAAAAGAUAAAAAAUAUUUUGUAAUUCAAACCUUAGAGGAUAAAGGAUAAUAGGAAGAGUUAAAAUAAGAAAUGGAUUUUAUCUAUAAAAGUCUAUAAAAUCAAAGGCCUCUCUUACUUGGGGGACAAGCACUGAAAAAGUAGUAAAAAGAGGGAGAGUUGAAUUGUAAUUACGAUCUUAAUAAAAUAUUUAUUUUUUCUACCCGUGGAUGUAGUAUGAAUGCUGAACCACUUUAAUUUUAUGUAUCUUUUUAUUAUAACGCCCCGACCUAGAUUAAUUCCAACGACAGUGUGUCACAAAUCCUCUAAUAGCUUCAUGACCGGUUCAACUAGCAAAUGUGUCGCCAUAUGUAUAGGGUCAUGUUGAUGAUAAGGUUUUGCAAAAGCGUUGAAGCCGAACUAGAAACUAAUUCUUGCUGCCAUAUACUAUGAACAAUGAAAUAUACAAGGCUUUAUGAAUUUGGUUCCAACAAGUGAUGUAGGUUGGUUGGCGUAGGAUGAGCACGGUAUCUUUUAGAUGGCAUAAUUUGGACUACAAAUGUCCUACGCAUAUAAUAUAUUAUCUCAAAGCUUGCGAUGAGGUAAAUCAAGCCAAGAAUUGCUUAUGUCAUUUAGCUCCAUGCCCGAGCCAAAAAUUUUGUUUCGUUUUUGCUCGCUUUCCUAUUUUUAGUUAUUUUCUUAUUUUUCCUAUAACUUUUAAGAUUUUUUUUAAUUUUUUAAAUAUUAGAUUUAAGUGCCAUUUAUUUUAUUUUCUUCAUUUAAAUUAGAAGAGUUAUAAUGUAAAAUAAUAUUUCAAAUUUACCUAUUUAAAAUUUUAAAAUUAGUAUUAAAAAAUUUAAAAAAUCUAAUUUUGUUCAUUCAGACUAUCAAAUAAUAUUUCAUCAUUCAAAAACUUAAUUUCUCUUAAUUAUGAACCUUUUUACAUUUCCACAUCGCGACCGAGCACUAUCUAUUUUAGCUUGGCUUCGAGAUUGAAUGAUGAAUCAAUCCAUGCAAUGGGCGUUCAUUCUUGCACUGCAGGCGACUUGGAUGCGUCUCUGCUCUGCGGUGAACAACAGGCCAUCCUAUUUCUAAAUACGUAUCCGAUCUGACGUUUACAGGGUUUAAUAAGUAAACGACUUUCAUGAAAGACAUGUCGGCCCAAUUCUUGGACGAUAUGUCGUCUACUUUACAACGACAUGACAUCUGGUUUUAGAACCUACAUACGAUAAGAUGUUUAAGUUUUUACUAAACAAACGACAAGAAAAACUUUGCGAAAUUUGAAAGGCCCGAACCACAGUAGGCGCCAGAGCCUUCUUCAUUUGCAAUUUCACACAAACGGAUAUGAGCAGACUCUCCAGAAUUGCACCAACGUGAGCCACUCCGAUACGAUAUGAGACACAAUUAAUAACUACCAUGUUCGCGUUCAGGUAUCAAUGAGACAAAUUCAUAAUUGCCUAGAACGAAACUUAUCACAUCAGAAUUAUCCUUGGUAUUCCUGUUAUUUGACAGAGAGAUUUAUCAUGAGCAAAUAAGUUAAAUAUUAUUUCAUAUGUUGAUUUUAUUUUUUUUUUGCAAAAAACCUGUAAUUGGAUCGGUUGGCCAUCAAUCGCCUAUUGUUGAAAAAAGUUAAGAGGUAGGGAAAACCCAAACUGAUUUUUCCACCACUCUCAAAAUUUUAAGCAGGAAGCCAAAUAAAUUUACUUGAAACUAAAUAAAAAUGGUUGAAAAUUAUUUCACCAAACUUGUGGGAAGAGUAUUUCACAUCAAAAUUCAUCCAUAACCGGACGUAUGAAAAUAUAUUCAUAUACAUACAUAUAUCCUGUCGAAAGAUUCAUACUUUGUAGUCACCAACCAGAUGACUUCGCCAAGUCGUGAUUUUCUCCUUCUGUUGCAAAAGUCGCCAACAAAUCAAAUGCUAACAGCUGUUCAAGGCUCAAUCCAACCAGCCAAUUGGGAAUCACCCCAAUACGACAGGAUCAAGAACAAUCAAACAUGCUAUUAUGAUAUAUCUAGCUUUGUGUAAGUUUAGCUGCUUUGAUGGCGACUUAAACGCAACUCCUCAAUAAGAGCACUCAAAUCAGAGUACGAUGAACCUCCAUUUUCAACAGCCCUUUUUGCCAUCUUCUCCAAAACCUUGGCUCUGCUCCUCAUUUCUUCUGCCCUAUCGCCCACCAUUAUCUCAUUCACUGCCUUUUCUAUUUUCUCUCUCUUCACAAAAUCCCCCACAAUUCUACACCAUUUCUGGAUUCCAACACCAACACCAAUCUUAAGGACUUCAUUCACCAUCUUUUCAUUGUAAAAUUGCUCCGCGGCGACGGGCCAUGUCACCAGAGGUACCCCAGCAGCCACCGCUUCAAGAGUUGAAUUCCAUCCGCAAUGGGUCACAAAUCCUCCAACAGCUUCGUGAUCAAGUAUCAAAACCUGUGGCGCCCAUCCUCUAAUGAUUAGCCCUUUUCCCUCCAUUCUCUUCUCAAAUCCUUCAGGCAACCAAUCUUCCUUUCCUCCUUCACCGCCAUCAUUCUUGUUUUUCCUCACAGCCCAAAUGAAAUUUCUCCCUGAAGCUUCCAGGCCCGUUGCAAUCUCCAUUAGCUGAGCAGAAGUAAAGUUGACCAGGCUUCCAAAGCAAAUGUAAACAACAGAAUUGGGUUGCUUUGAAUUCAACCACUUCAAGCACUCCAGUUCAUCAAUAGAGGCUUGCUUUCCCCUCAAAGCUUUAUCUUCAAAAUUCCUAUUGCAUAAGGAAACAGGGCCAAUAUGCCAUGCCCUCCUUCCCAAAGCCUUCCUGUAAUGAUCAGCAUAAGCAUGCUCAAGCUCAUAAAAGCUGUUCACAGCAACACCAUAGCUCCUUGACUCUGACUCGUUAGUUGCUUUCAACAACCUGCUGAAGUCAUUAUAUCCCAUAUCCUGUUUUACAAAAUCUGGCAAUUGGUUUCUCGUCAGCUUGAUCUCACCCGGAAAAUGAGGCAUCACAAAUGGCUCUGAAUCCGAUGAAACUUUCUUGUGUGGCUCAUAUAGCGCCAGGCAAUUUGAUGCACACAAAGAAAAGAAACUAGUGCCGUGAAACACCAGCCAGGAAAAACAAGAAUGAUGGCGGUGAAGGAGGAAAGGAAGAAUAUAUCGGCUACCAAACAAUCUGGUUUAUGAUCUCGCAACAGCUGCUCGAGAGGUUCUUGGAGCUUCGUUGUGGCCCCGAAAAACUUGACAAUCAAUUCCUUGUUCACUUCAUUAGUGAUUGCGUCAAGAUUUUCACAUCCCUCUGGCAAA